AGUGUUUUCUACCUGCUUCCUUGAAGGCCUUAUCCUUGUUGACUAUCUUUUUCCUCCCCAUAGGUGAGCUGGGAAUGUUGAAGCAGGUUGGAGUGGGAGGCAUUCCCUUCCUUCCAGCUGGAUGGCUCCGGCAAAGCUCUUCUGAAGGAGCUCUGGAGGAUGGGAAUGAAGAUGGCAGCCUCCCAAUCUCCAGCCUGAAGGAGCUGAGAUCUCAGGCCCCCUCUCCUCAGUGUGUCUCCCUGGUCUCCAGCUGCACAUGGAGCUCAUCCAGCAUGUGA
RNAcentral lists this long non-coding RNA (278 nucleotides) under Mustela putorius furo (domestic ferret). RNAcentral describes it as "lncRNA (ENSMPUG00000024862.1)". Lineage: Eukaryota; Metazoa; Chordata; Mammalia; Carnivora; Mustelidae. The record is from RNAcentral.